Long non-coding RNA from Panonychus citri (citrus red mite), 4239 nucleotides. RefSeq lists it as uncharacterized. The transcript is spliced from 4 exons. The record is from RefSeq and is a predicted model, not a curated record. Lineage: Eukaryota; Metazoa; Arthropoda; Arachnida; Trombidiformes; Tetranychidae.
AGAAAGGGAAGUAGACAGAGGAAAAGAAUUGGAAAAAAAGAAAGAGAAGAAAAAAGAAGAAGAGAAAAAGAUGAUGAUGUGUAUGUAGAUUGAAGGUGGUGAGAAUAAUGAUGAUGAGGAUGAUAGACUUUAGAACAGGUAGACUGAUGAUGAGAAAAUGAUGAUGAAGACAAAAUAAUAUUUCGCAUUUUUAAUAAUAAUAAUAAUCUUUGUACGUGUUUACCUUUUUCUUUUUACUCUUUUUGGAGAACAAAUUUUUUAUUCGAAAGAGAAAAUUUUUCUUAUUCUUUUUUUUCACUUUUCCACUUUUUCAAAAUUCUAAUUAAUUAAUUGGAUUAUAAGUAGAAUUUGUAAUUGAUUUUUUUUUCUUUUCUUUUGUUUCCCUCGCUUUUAGUUGGUCACUUUUUCUUUUUCUCUGGUUUGUCCUCGUGAUUAAUUUUUCUUCUUUAAUUAUAUUAACCCUUUUGGUCAUUUAUUUAUAGAAUUGACAAUGUCCACUCUUUGAUUUCCUGGAGUUUCUAUCGAUUGUUUUCAUUUUUAUUCUCUUUUUACUCUUUCCUCCAUCUUUUUUAUCUCUCUUAACCUUUUGUUUGACUUUUUUUUCUCUUCUCUUUCACAUGUAAACCAUUAAGGUUUCUCCUUUUAUCUUCUCUUUCUUUUAUUAUCUCUCUUCCCCUUUUGUUUAUCCUCUUUAUCUCUUUCUCUCUGGUUGUUUCUACCUUUAUCUUACAUGUUCUUUUAUCAAAAUUUUCUCUCUGUGUCUAAUCUAAUUUUCUUUGUUUUCAUUUUUUCACCUCCAUGGAAAAUUCUUCAGACCCUUGAGAGUUCACCCGUUCUUCUGAUUUAAGUGUACUUAUUAUACCGGUUAAAUAGCGAAAGAGAAGGAGAAAGAGAUAGAUAGAGAGAGAGUGAGUGAUAAUCUACAUGAAUCUUCCUUCCAUUUCCUUUCAUUUCUUCUGUUCUCUGUCUCUUUCUCUCUCAUUUUCUCUUCCAAUAUGAUAUCAUUAGUGAAAGAAGAAACCUGGUGAUGAUGGUGGAGACAUUAUGCUCAUGCGAUAAACGAUAAACGAGUCGAUCAGAAACAAAAAUGGAAACGCAUCUUUUUACCGGCUUGUUGAUUUAUUCUGAUGGAUGGAAAACAUUUUAUGAUGAUGGACAAUCAACUUUCUCUCUCGUUCUCUUCCACUGAUGGUUACCUAAUGGAGAUUCUAAUGAUAAAACUAACAAUCCAUAACAGUAUUGGAAAAAAAACUAUCAACAAUGAAGGGGAGAACGUGCUUACCGCGUGCACCUAAAUCAAUAGUUUCUCAUGCAUGAAGUAUUAAUCAUGUCAUAUUUUUAUAUCGAUUUGUUGGUACGAAUUGAUUAUGACAAAUAGGAGAAGGAGAUGUUGAUUAGAACUUGAUUAGACAGAAGUAAAUCACCAAAUCUUCAAAAUGGAUCAUUGGUUUUUUCAAUCAAUCUCGUUGAAACUCAAAUAACACACAAAAUCAGGAUCACAAUUAUGUCAGACAUGUUUUAUCAUUUUUGAUUUUUUCACUUUCAUCAACUCAUCUCAACUUUUCCAUCAGCAUCUUAUUGCCGAUCAUCAUCUCGAUGUUUACUAUCCAAGUUAUCUGGUUAUAACGCUCAAACAUGGAUAGACUAUCAACAAUUUUUAUACCUUCACAUGAUGAUAUUCAGCCUACAAUUCAAGUCUCAGUCAACCUGUUGGUGGUUAUGAUGACUAUUGAUGUUGCCCCUUUCUUCAAGUGACUGUUCGGCCUUGGAAAAGGCUUUAACUCACUGACUCCCUCGAAUGGAUUUCCACUUUGACAACGUCACUGACCAUCACGAAUAAUUGGUUAGCCAAUCUCUCUCUCUCUCUCUCUUUCUUUCUUUCUUUCUUUCUUUCUUUCUUUCUCUCUCUCUCUAUUCACAUACAGCAAAGAAAAGAAAGAAAAAACAGUCGAUUCAAUUUUAUACCUAAAGGUAAAUGAAAAAAACGUCACAACAGGUAAGUGAUAGAAAGAGAAAGCUAAACUAACCGAGAAUAACCCGGAAUAACAUGAUUAUAUUAUUUGAUUAUGAUGACUGUAAAUGUAAUUGAUUAUUUAAUCAAUAUAAACAUCAACACCAGGACAUGUUGCUGAUAUUUCUAGAUACUAAUGAUUCUAUUAAUACAAUUUAUCGAUUGAUGAUUGUUUUUGAUAAGAAAUUAUCAAUUAAAUGAUCAAAAGUAAAUGUAUAUCUGUGGCCGAUAAACAUCAUCGACAUCGUCAUCAAUUACUUUCACACAGAAUCUUAUUUUCCGUCAUCGAACCGAGUUAUUCCUUGUUACUGAAAUAUACUUUUUCUCACUUUUUCAAGUCUCUCUCUCUCUCUCUCUCUCUCUCUCUCUCUCUCUCUCUCUCUCUCUCUCUUUCUUUCUUUCUUUCUUUCUUUCUUUCUCUCUAUUCACAUACAGCAAAGAAAAGAAAGAAAAAACAGUCGAUUCAAUUUUAUACCUAAAGGUAAAUGAAAAAAACGUCACAACAGUCUCAUGUCUGGCCUUGGAUUUUAACUCGUGUUUGUGUUUUCCUUUACAUUUACGAUUAGAAUAAGUCAAGUGAUAAGAUAUGCGAUAUUGUAUAAACACAAUUAUCUAAAUUACUUCUAAUCAGUUGGUUAUUAUAAUUUUCCUUCUCCUUUAAAUAUUAUCAACUUUCUGCCAACAAAAACAACAACAACAACACAGGAAACUAAUUUUCGUCGAACUGGAUCCAUUUCGUUGGAGUUAUUAUUUCGAACUGUUAAAUUUGGUCAGGUAGUGAAAAUCCCGUAAAAACUUUUCAGUAUCACUUCCGCAAUUUUAGUUGGUAAUUUAUAUUAUCAAUUUUGUUGGUGUUGUAGGAUAAUUAGCAUACAAUUAAGGAAUUACAGUUGCCUAGAGAUAACCUUUCAGUUUCCUAUGAACUUGAUUAUUUUCAAUAAUAUUAAUCAGCUGAAUUAUUUACUCGUUUCAUGUGAAUAUUUAUCGUUGUUCACGUUUCCAUUUUACCGACUAUGAAUUUAUGGAUUAUCUUUACACUCAAUCAAGGUUGAUCAUCAUGUCAACAACAUCUUAAUGAUUAUUGAUGAUUAUUAAGCUGAUUAAGUUUAAUUAGAUAUGAAAUUUAGUUAACUGAAUUAUACAACGGAUCUUAAAAAUCCACAGUUUCUUAAAUAGUAGUUAAUCUACUUCGAAAUCGUUUGAAAUGAUCCAGAAUUAAUCUGCUAAUUUUUACUAAUUUUUCAAUUCUAAUAUUGAUUAGAGUGUAAAAAGAUUGAUUGAUUACACUUGGAAACUUUAAUUGCUGAUAUUCAUCAAAUGGAGUCAACGGAAUCGUCCAAUUAACCCGUUUAAUUUAAUUUGAAACAAUCAACAUGAUUGUGUGUUUAAUUUACAAAUUAACGCUCGCCCCACAUCAACAAUGACAAUUGCUCUUACAAAAUUUGAUCAACGCAAUUUAGUUUGUCCUAUUUAAUUAAUUACAAUACGACAAACACUCAUGUUAAUUUAAAUCAAACUGAGUUUAAUUAACUCUGAUUAUUUAAAUAAGUUGAUGGUUUUAAAUUUUACUCUUACCAAUUGCUAGUGACAAUUGUGUUAAUCAUCAAUAGCAGAUAUUAACACAACUGUUGGCAAUCAAAGUUUUAAUCAACAAUUUAGUGAUGUAAAUUAUUUUGAUAAAACCCAAGUGAGUACAAAUUAACUAAUCUACGUCAAUAGUUGUAAAAACAAAGACGCAACAAUUAAAUUGGGCACAAUUAACCUUGAUUACCUAAUGGAUACUGAUUGUAAAAUUGGUCAAAUUGUUUUUUAAUUUUAAUUGUUGUGAAAAUUAAAAAACAGGAUAAACACAAUUGGACAAAAUGCUUCAAGGAAUUAAGUUAAUAACUAAUUUACUUUCGUCUCAAUUUAAGGAAAUGUUAAAUUGUUUGACGUUGAAUUGAAUUAAAUUAACCAAUAGAUUUAACCUUAAAUCAUUUAACUCCAAACCUUGAAAAUGAAAACACAUCAAUAAGUUUACACAAUUAACUGAUUGUUUAUAUCUUAAUUAUUGGAUUCAUGUAACAAUCAUUUUAAAUUGUUGAGAUAAUUUUAACUUAACAAUUUUGAUUCUGAUUAAGAUAAACAACUAAAUGGUUACAUAAUCAAGUAUUCUCAAAGUUGAUUGUUAUUUAUAACUAGAGACAUGUAACAAUUUAUGUUUAAUUGAUUCUGAUUAUUGAUUAGAU